ACCUGCGGAAGGAUCAUUAACGAUUGCUACACAAGCAAAAAAAAAAAAAAGACAAAGACGUAUGGUUAAAAGCUAAAACACCUGACGAGUUCAGGAAGGAUGAUGCCUCUCUCUCGCUAGAUAGCGAAGAAAUUGGCCAUCGUGGUCGUUGUGCUUGUGCACUGCGAACGAUGUAAAACAAACAACCGAUGGCCUCUCAUACAGUAUAAUAUCUCUCGCCAUGGUAUACAGGCCUGGCAUCUGGUACGAGUCUCUCGCAGUCUCAAAACCAACCUUACAACUCUGAGCGGUGGAUCACUUGGCUUGUGGAUGCUAUGAAGACCAUAGCUAAGUGUGAGAAUGGCAGCGAGCCGUCGCUAUAUGCGCUGUCCUCUUCUUAUCACAUGUCGAAUGCACAUUGCGCCCCACCCAGCGGUCGGCUAACCUCCUGCAGACAAAAACCUGUGAGUUGGAACAAAGGCGAUGUGUGGCCCUCGAGCAACGGCGGGGGAGCCAGGAGCACAUUAGCGUGCGGACCAACCACUCGUUAGUAGUCAGGCUGAACCCUAUGGUGGGGCACUCCUAGUCGAGUGUGGUGGAUCGGACUCUUAUCUCUUGUAGCGCUUUUGCGCGAAGGAGUUUGAGUUUCUUUGUUGCUGGUGGCAUUUGGGUCGACAUCAGUCGUGCCUGUCAAAACCUGCCUUGGCUCGUGCCUCUGUGCGUAUUACCUCACGUAGGUGCGUACAUUGAAGGCCAUAGCUGGCGAUCACUCUUGCGGCCAGGGCACUACCUUUGCGGUAGUGCGCAGAGGUCCAAAAGUAUAUGGUAAUACGAGAGUCGGGUCUCUGAUACUCUAUUUGGCUCACGCAGUGAGUGGUUUGGUAAUAUGAGGUUCUCUGUGAAUACGCUUGUCUGGUAUGGGUUCGUCUCUCGUACUAUUCGAGAAGCACACGACGAACCUGGACUAAAUUUUUAGUCUCUGUUCACACACACACACGCGCACAAACAACCAUGCUGGCAGAGGGAKACAAGAGCCUGACGAGAUCAGGAAGGAUUUUCUAACAGAGUGUGUGUGUCAACAGAACCGACCAGACGAGCGUGCAGUGUCGCUCCAUUCUACGUUCGCAGCUGUGUGCAUGCUAGUUCAGGAGAGAGACCCUUCUGCUCGUGUUUUCCGAAGCCACCACCUCGACUUAGGAGAGGUUACCCGCUGAACUUAAGCAUAUCAGUAAGCGGAGGAAAAGAAACCAAUCAGGGAUUCCCUUAGUAGGGGCGACCGAAAAGGGAUGAGCCCAGCGCAGAACCUCCCGGGCCACCCGGCCUGCGGCGGAAUGUUGCGUUAAGGGAAAGGUCGUAGUCAAACCCCACAGCCACGCGAGCACUAAGUAAGUCACGAAUUGGCUAUCCCAACUAACGGCGGGAAAAUCUCCACGGAGGGUGUAAGACCCGUGUGGGCGCGUGUAAAUGCUGUGUGGGCUCGGCCUCUUUUCCCUGAGAGUCGCGUUGCUUGAGCAUGCAGCGCUAAGCAGGUCGUAAACUCGAUCUAAGGCUAAAUAUGUCCACAAGACCGAUAGCGAACAAGUACCGUGAGGGAAAGUGAAAAGCACUCUGAAGAGAG
This 1597-nucleotide ribosomal RNA is filed under the name Niphargus pachytelson. RNAcentral's name for it is "eukaryotic LSU rRNA". Lineage: Eukaryota; Metazoa; Arthropoda; Malacostraca; Amphipoda; Niphargidae. The record is from RNAcentral.